CAUUUUUAUUUCUCCUCCUAGACUGGGGGACUCUCAAGGACAAGAAGUGUGUCACACCCAUCUUCUAUCUUUGCCACAGAGCAGAGUGUGCCACAGAGCAGAGCGUCUGACACAUGAACAAGAAAGAACCACAUGCUGCCAUUGAUCCACUGUAGACUGUCAUGGCGGAGGAAGUACUUGGGAGACUCAGCACGUUCUAAGAGAAAAUGUGAAGGGCAUAUAUGAGAUUCUGAGUGUUUAUUGCUGGGCAUUAAAGUUACAAAUUAUGAUGACACGAAAUCAGAAGGGACAAGUCAUCUGCCUGUGUGCCUGAUAAGAUGAAUACUUAUGCUGAAAUAUCCUGGCAUUCAGUGAAGAUUCGUUUGUCUACAUGACCUCCUGGCCAUUUGGAUUCUAUAUAUUUAAUAGGGUUAAGCUCUCUCCUGCUCCCUACACUAUCACACCAAAAUUUUCAAAAACACUUUCUUUUUUUUAUUAACCUGAUAAAAAUUAGGACUUUGGGGGCAUCUGGUGGCUUAGGUGGUUAAGUGUCUGCCUUCAGCUCAAGUCAUGAUCUGGUCCGGGACAGAGCCCAGAAUCAGAAUCCUCGGUCAGUGGGAAGUCUGCUUCUCCCUCUGCUUCUCAGCUACCCCCCGCCCCUUCCACA
Molecule: long non-coding RNA, 646 nt
Organism: Canis lupus familiaris (dog)
Lineage: Eukaryota; Metazoa; Chordata; Mammalia; Carnivora; Canidae
Exons: 3
Source: RefSeq, a predicted model, not a curated record